This 465-nucleotide ribosomal RNA is filed under the name uncultured bacterium. RNAcentral describes it as "partial 16S ribosomal RNA". It matches the Rfam family "Bacterial small subunit ribosomal RNA", at positions 28 to 506 of the family's 1533-position model. The record is from RNAcentral.
GAUGAACGCUGGCGGCGUGCUUAACACAUGCAAGUCGAACGAUGAAGCCCAGCUUGCUGGGUGGAUUAGUGGCGAACGGGUGAGUAACACGUGAGUAACCUGCCCUUGACUCUGGGAUAAGCCUGGGAAACUGGGUCUAAUACUGGAUAUGACUUCUCAUCGCAUGGUGGGGGGUGGAAAGAUUUAUUGGUCUUGGAUGGACUCGCGGCCUAUCAGCUUGUUGGUGAGGUAAUGGCUCACCAAGGCGACGACGGGUAGCCGGCCUGAGAGGGUGACCGGCCACACUGGGACUGAGACACGGCCCAGACUCCUACGGGAGGCAGCAGUGGGGAAUAUUGCACAAUGGGCGCAAGCCUGAUGCAGCGACGCCGCGUGGGGGAUGACGGCCUUCGGGUUGUAAACCUCUUUCAGUAGGGAAGAAGCGAGAGUGACGGUACCUGCAGAAGAAGCGCCGGCUAACUACGU